CAGCCGCCGCGGUAGUACGUAGGUGGCGAGCGUUAAUCGGAAUUACUGGGCGUAAAGGGCUCGCAGGCGGUUUCUUAAGUCUGAUGUGAAAGCCCCCGGCUCAACCGGGGAGGGUCAUUGGAAACUGGGAAACUUGAGUGCAGAAGAGGAGAGUGGAAUUCCACGUGUAGCGGUGAAAUGCGUAGAGAUGUGGAGGAACACCAGUGGCGAAGGCGACUCUCUGGUCUGUAACUGACGCUGAGGAGCGAAAGCGUGGGGAGCGAACAGGAUUAGAGACCCCUGUAGUCCCUGUCUCUUAUAC
RNAcentral lists this ribosomal RNA (301 nucleotides) under uncultured bacterium. RNAcentral describes it as "partial 16S ribosomal RNA". It matches the Rfam family "Bacterial small subunit ribosomal RNA", at positions 509 to 807 of the family's 1533-position model. The record is from RNAcentral.